AACGAACGCUGGCGGCAUGCCUAACACAUGCAAGUCGAACGAAGCCUUCGGGCUUAGUGGCGCACGGGUGCGUAACGCGUGGGAAUCUGCCCUUGGGUUCGGAAUAACAGUUAGAAAUGACUGCUAAUACCGGAUGAUGUCUUAGGACCAAAGAUUUAUCGCCCAAGGAUGAGCCCGCGUAGGAUUAGGUAGUUUGUGGGGUAAUGGCCCACCAAGCCGACGAUCCUUAGCUGGUCUGAGAGGAUGAUCAGCCACACUGGGACUGGAACACGGCCCAGAAUCCUACGGGAGGCAGCAGUGGGGAAUAUUGGACAAUGGGCGAAAGCCUGAUCCAGCAAUGCCGCGUAAGUGAUGAAGGCCUUAGGGUUGUAAAGCUCUUUUACCAGGGAUGAUAAUGACAGUACCUGGAGAAUAAGCUCCGGCUAACUCCGUGCCAGCAGCCGCGGUAA
RNAcentral lists this ribosomal RNA (449 nucleotides) under uncultured bacterium. Its description in RNAcentral is "partial 16S ribosomal RNA". It matches the Rfam family "Bacterial small subunit ribosomal RNA", at positions 29 to 523 of the family's 1533-position model. The record is from RNAcentral.